This 327-nucleotide ribosomal RNA is filed under the name uncultured Pseudomonadota bacterium. RNAcentral's name for it is "bacterial SSU rRNA". It matches the Rfam family "Bacterial small subunit ribosomal RNA", at positions 29 to 351 of the family's 1533-position model. The record is from RNAcentral. Lineage: Bacteria; Pseudomonadati; Pseudomonadota.
AGUGAACGCUGGCGGUAGGCCUAACACAUGCAAGUCGAACGGCAGCACAGGAGAGCUUGCUCUCUGGGUGGCGAGUGGCGGACGGGUGAGGAAUACAUCGGAAUCUACCUUUUCGUGGGGGAUAACGUAGGGAAACUUACGCUAAUACCGCAUACGACCUACGGGUGAAAGUGGGGGACCGCAAGGCCUCACGCGAUUAGAUGAGCCGAUGUCCGAUUAGCUAGUUGGCGGGGUAAUGGCCCACCAAGGCGACGAUCGGUAGCUGGUCUGAGAGGAUGAUCAGCCACACUGGAACUGAGACACGGUCCAGACUCCUACGGGAGGCUG